UGGGGAAUAUUGCACAAUGGAGGGAACUCUGAUGCAGCGACGCCGCGUGAACGAAGAAGGCUUUCGAGUCGUAAAGUUCUUUUAUAUGGGAAGAUAAUGACGGUACCAUAAGAAGAAGCCCCGGCUAACUACGUGCCAGCAGCCGCGGUAAUACGUAGGGGGCUAGCGUUGUCCGGAAUCACUGGGCGUAAAGGGUUCGCAGGCGGAAAUGCAAGUCAGGUGUAUAAGGCAGUAGCUUAACUACUGUAAGCAUUUGAAACUGCAUAUCUUGAGAAGAGUAGAGGUAAGUGGAAUUUUUAGUGUAGCGGUGAAAUGCGUAGAUAUUAAAAAGAAUACCGGUGGCGAAGGCGACUUACUGGGCUCAUUCUGACGCUGAGGAACGAAAGCGUGGGUAGCAAACAGG
RNAcentral lists this ribosomal RNA (403 nucleotides) under bacterium. Its description in RNAcentral is "partial 16S ribosomal RNA". It matches the Rfam family "Bacterial small subunit ribosomal RNA", at positions 355 to 776 of the family's 1533-position model. The record is from RNAcentral.